GCCUGUUUAUCAAAAACAUGGCUCUUUGUGUAACACAAAUAAAGAGUCGGACCUGCCCAGUGAUAAUUUUUAAACGGCCGCGGUACCCUGACCGUGCAAAGGUAGCAUAAUCAUUUGCCUUGUAAUUUAAGGCUAGUAUGAAAGGUUUGACAAGAAUAUAACUGUCUCCUUUUGGUUUAAUAGAAUUUUACUUAUAGGUGAAGAGACUUAUAUUAGAUUAAUAGACAAGAAGACCCUAUCGAGCUUUAAAGUAAUUAAUUGAAUUAAAUGAAAUAAACACAUAAAAUCAAAUCUAUUAAAAAUUUUGGUUGGGGCGACUAAGGAACAAACAAAGCUUCCUGUUCAACUUAAACUUUCAAGUAAUGAUCCAGGAAAUUCUGAUUAAAGAAAUUAGUUACCGUAGGGAUAACAGCAUUAUCUUUUUUGAGAGCUCUUAUCGAAAAAAAGGUUUGUGACCUCGAUGUUGGACCAGAAUACCCCAAAGAUGUAGCAGUCUUUAAAGGUUGGUCUGUUCGACCAUUAAAAUUCUACGUGAUCUGAGUUCA
This 545-nucleotide ribosomal RNA is filed under the name Vexillum semifasciatum. Its description in RNAcentral is "partial 16S ribosomal RNA". It matches the Rfam family "Bacterial large subunit ribosomal RNA", at positions 1798 to 2613 of the family's 2925-position model. Lineage: Eukaryota; Metazoa; Mollusca; Gastropoda; Neogastropoda; Costellariidae. The record is from RNAcentral.